CCGAGUUUACACAAACUCCCAAACCCCAUGUGAACAAACCUCAGUUGCUUCGGCGGGACUGCCCCGGCGCCUUCACCGGCAGCCCGGAACCAGGCGCCCGCCGGAGGCCAUUAAACUCUUGUUUCUCACGGUGACACGCUCUGAGUAAUAAAAAUAAAUGAAUCA
RNAcentral lists this unclassified non-coding RNA (165 nucleotides) under uncultured Hypocreales. RNAcentral describes it as "sequence contains ITS1". The record is from RNAcentral. Lineage: Eukaryota; Fungi; Ascomycota; Sordariomycetes; Hypocreales.